UAUGUUCUUAUGCAACAGGAUAUAACUGAAGCAGACAUACUGGAAAAAUGACUCUAGCCACAUGGUCGCCACAACCUGUAUUUUUUUAUGUAUCUUAGACGAGCUGUAAGAUUAGGUAGGUGUAUCGGUUACUUGCUUGUUUGGGGAAUCGCUUCGAAGAUCCUUGAGCGAAGCACACGAAAGGUCUUUCGCAUUCAUCAGUCAGGAUUUUUACGAAAUUACGAAGGAUUAAAAUUGCAUGGAUUUGUUUUGCACAACCACCAUCAGCCUUUUCUGGCAUCGAACUGGCCGUUAUUAUUCAGUCGACCUUUGUCAUUUUGUGAAACGAAAAUGAACAUCUUGUCACUUCAAUACUGCAACAACGAAACUGAGACGGUACCCGUCGAAAGUAUUUUUGCCCAGAAUGACGUUAUUGGCCUCUUCUUCACAGUGCCAACAUCGGUUGAAUGUGUAGCCUUCAUCGACUCAUUGAUGGAUGUCUAUCAACGACUUCGGGCAGACGGCAAAAAGUUCGAAGUGUUGCAGGUCGAUUGUUCACAGGUGGACGCCAUCCGCAAGCGGACUACCAGGAUAGAAACGACAACAACACCUCCCCCAUGGAGAAGUUUACAGGAAAUCUGCGUUGCCGGCUUAGCUAGCGCUUACCGUGUUCGUCGAGUACCCGCUCUUGUAAUUCUUCGCUCGAACGGAGAGGUGAUCUCGUUUGAUUACUGUUCGUCAUUGGACAAGCUCAGGUGCAGUUCUUGGGAAAGGUGGAUGGGCGAACACGUCAUUGACCGCAUGCCUCCCUUCAUAAUGACCAUUGAAAAUGUCAAUUAACACGCUAAUUCGAUGUGGAAAUGAAAACAGAACGUAGAUGGGGUCGACGCCACGUUUGUGCCGGUGCUUGUAGGACAGGAAUUUGCUUGGUCGGACAAUAAAAUAUGAACGAACUCUACUCCUCGAUGUAGUGUAAACGUCGAUUGAGGCAGUCUUGACUGCUUGUCGAUAGCUGUCCUGACUCUUGAGUGCCUGUGAGUCUAUACCCACAAGGCUAGUGUUGAAGCGGAAUCACCUUGUCGUUUGGAAGCAGCCGUGCGGUAGGCGGCGCUGAAGUGCUACUUGGGUCUGUCAAUAUGGGUGUGUAGGGCACAAGAGAGAGUGGUGCAACUUCGCGGAAGCGUGAGCAAAGUUUGAUAUCGUCAUUACCGGGUGGUAAUAUGUCGUGCAAUAUAUUUUUCUUUGUACAUGUUUGUGUGUAUUCGGAAGGCGACCUUUAUUCAGAGCAAUAAAGGCGGAAACAGUCGAAAAAAUGUAUUUCAGAGAAUUCCAAACAAAAUAAAACACA
Molecule: long non-coding RNA, 1327 nt
Organism: Varroa destructor (honeybee mite)
Lineage: Eukaryota; Metazoa; Arthropoda; Arachnida; Mesostigmata; Varroidae
Source: RefSeq, a predicted model, not a curated record